AUUUCACAUAAUUUAGCAGCAGUUGAUGCCAUUUUCUUUGACCUUUCUCCAGUUCCUGUUGACUUUUCCCGUAUGAAAGAUGCGCACAAGUAGAAAGCUCUUAAAGACUCCUUAAGAUGUCAACAGCACAAUCAACCAAAGCAAAAAAGACAGCAAAGAAACAAUAAACAAAGUGAACAGACAACUGGCAGAAUGAGACAAAAUAUUUACAAAUUAUUCAACUGACUUAGGAUUAAUAACCAGAAUAUACAAGUUACUCAAACAAUUUAGCAAAAACAACCCCCAAAUAACCUGAUUAAAAAUGGGCAAGGGAUCUAAAUAAACAUUUCUCAAAAGAAGACAUAUAAAUGGCCAACAGGUAUGAAAAAAUGUGCAGCAUCACUAAUCAUCAGGGAAAUGCAAAUCAAAACAACAAUGAGAUUUCAUCUCAGUCCUUUUAAAACAGCUUUUAUAAAAAGACAAUAAUUGAUGUGGGUGACAAUGUGGAGAAAGAGGAAUUCUUAUAUAUUAUACAUUGUUGAUGGGAAUAUAAAUUAGUAGAGUUACUGUGGAAAAGAGUAUGAUGAUUCCUCAAAAAAUUAAAAUAGAGUUACCAUAUGAUUUAGAAAUCUUACAGUUGAGUAUAAAUCCAAAAGAAAGAAAAUCAAUGUAUCAAAGAAAUAGCUGCACUCCUAUGCUUAUUGAAGCACUACUCACAAUAGCCAAGAUAUAAAGUCAACCUAUCAACUGAUGAAUGGAUAAUGGAAAUGUGGUAAAUAUAUGCAAUGGAAUAUAAUUCAGCCAUAAAAAGAAUGAAAUCCUGUCAUUUGCUACAACAUGAAUGGAACCGGGAUGAAAUAGGCCAGGCACAGAAACAAACAUAUCUUACAUCCUCACUCAUAUGUGGGAACUAAAAAACAAAAACAAAAACAAAAACCUAAUGGAGUUAGAGAGUAGGAUAACAAUUACCAGAGGCUGGAAAGGGCAAUGGGAAAGGGAGCAUAAAGAGGGGCUUGUUAGUGGGUACAAAAAUACAAUUAGAAAGAAUAAGAUCUCGUGUUUGGUACCACAAAAGGUGACUAUAAUUCACAAUAAUUUGAUAUAUUUUCCAAAAUAAAUAGAGGAGUGAAUCUGCAAAGUUCCCAACACAAAAAAUGAUAAAUGUUUGAUAUGAUGAAUAUUCCAAAUACCUU
Molecule: long non-coding RNA, 1172 nt
Filed under: Homo sapiens (human)
Lineage: Eukaryota; Metazoa; Chordata; Mammalia; Primates; Hominidae
Description: HSALNT0210067
Source: RNAcentral